RNAcentral lists this ribosomal RNA (373 nucleotides) under uncultured bacterium. Its description in RNAcentral is "bacterial SSU rRNA". It matches the Rfam family "Bacterial small subunit ribosomal RNA", at positions 525 to 896 of the family's 1533-position model. The record is from RNAcentral.
ACGAACCGUCCAAACGUUAUUCGGAAUUACUGGGCUUAAAGGGUGCGUAGGCGGCGCUACAAGUCGGGUGUGAAAUCCCUCAGCUUAACUGAGGAACUGCGCCCGAAACUGUAGUGCUGGAGUGAGGCAGGGGUGAGCGGAACUGAUGGUGGAGCGGUGAAAUGUGUUGAUAUCAUCAGGAACACCGGUGGCGAAGGCGGCUCACUGGGCCUUUACUGACGCUGAGGCACGAAAGCUAGGGGAGCAAACGGGAUUAGAUACCCCGGUAGUCCUAGCUGUAAACGAUGAGCACUUGAUCGGAGACUCCUCCAUAGGUUUCCGGUCGUAGCGAAAGUGUUAAGUGCUCCGCCUGGGGAGUAUGGUCGCAAGGCUG